GGGUUGAGCAGACUAAGGAUGAUGAGGUUAUUACUGGAUAUGACAGUGAUGAUGAGAGUAAAAUAUCAAGAUUAGUGGGUGGCCAAGUGCAGGUGCAAGAAGAUGCCAUCCAGUCAGGACCAGUGCUAGUUCCAGCAGGGGUGGCUGGAAGAACUAUGAGACUCAAAGUGAAGACCAUGAAGUUGGGGGAG
This is a long non-coding RNA of Homarus americanus (American lobster), 191 nucleotides long. RefSeq lists it as uncharacterized. The transcript has 3 exons. The record is from RefSeq and is a predicted model, not a curated record. Lineage: Eukaryota; Metazoa; Arthropoda; Malacostraca; Decapoda; Nephropidae.